GACGAACGCUGGCGGCGUGCUUAACACAUGCAAGUCGAACGGAAAGGCCCUGCGGGGUUCUCGAGCGGGGAACGGGUGCGUAAGACGUAGGCGAUCGUCACUGCCCUUUGGGAUAAGCAUGGGAUACUGGGUCUAAUGCUGAAUACGACCACGCGCUCCAUCUGGUUUGGUGGGAAGCGUGUGCGGUGUGGGUUGGGCCCGCGGCCUAUCAGCUUGUUGGUGGGGUAGUGGCCUACCAAGGCUACGACGGGUAGCCGGCCUGAGAGGGUGACCGGCCACAUUGGGACUGAGAUACGGCCCAGACUCCUACGGGAGGCAGCAGUGGGGAAUAUUGCACAAUGGGCGGAAGCCUGAUGCAGCGACGCCGCGUGCGGGAUGACGGCCUUCGGGUUGUAAACCUCUUUCGAUUGGGACGAAGCGCGAGUGACGGUACCUAGAGAAGAAGCACCGGCUAACUACGUG
Molecule: ribosomal RNA, 462 nt
Filed under: uncultured bacterium
Lineage: Bacteria
Description: partial 16S ribosomal RNA
Rfam family: Bacterial small subunit ribosomal RNA
Source: RNAcentral